GAGGAUAACAACCGGAAGGUUACUAAGACUAUAACAAUCCCAAAGGGAUCUUCUUUGUUUNAAAGACCUUCUUACGAAGGUAUGCUUAAAGAGGGGCUUGCGCCACAUUAGUUAGUUGGUAGAGUAAAAGCCUACCAAGACGAUGAUGUGUAGCUGGACUGAGAGGUUGAACAGCCACAUUGGGACUGAGACACGGCCCAAACUCCUACGGGAGGCAGCAGUAGGGAAUUUUCGGCAAUGGAGGAAACUCUGACCGAGCAACGCCGCGUGAACGAUGAAGUAUUUCGGUAUGUAAAGUUCUUUUAUUGAAGAAGAAAAAGUAGUGGAAAAACUAUAUUAGCGUUACUCACUGAAUAAGCCCCGGCUAACUAUGUGCCAGCAGCCGCGGUAAGACAUAGGGGGCGAGCGUUAUCCGGAAUUAUUGGGCGUAAAGGGUGCGUAGGCUGUUAGAUAAGUCUAUAAUUUAAUUUCAGUGCUUAACACUGUCUUGUUAUAGAAACUGUCUUGACUAGAGUGAGAUAGAGGCAAGCGGAAUUCCAUGUGUAGCGGUAAAAUGUGUAAAUAUAUGGAGGAACACCAGAAGCGUAGGCGGCUUGCUGGGUCUUUACUGACGCUGAGGCACGAAAGCGUGGCUAGCAAACAGGAUUAGAUACCCUGGUAGUCCACGCCGUAAACGAUGAGUACUAAGUGUCGGGGUAAAACUCGGUACUGAAGUUAACACAUUAAGUACUCCGCCUGAGUAGUACGUACGCAAGUAUAAAACUUAAAGGAAUUGACGGGACUCCGCACAAGCGGUGGAUCAUGUUGUUUAAUUCGAAGAUACACGCAAAAUCUUACCAGGUCUUGACAUACUCUGCAAAGCUAUAGAAAUAUAGUGGAGGUUAUCAGGGAUACAGGUGGUGCAUGGUUGUCGUCAGUUCGAAUCGUGAGAUGUUAGGUUAAGUCCUAAAACGAACGCAACCCUUGUCGUUAAUUGCCAGCACAUAAUGGUGGGGACUUUAACGAGACUGCCAAUUAAACAUUGGAGGAAGGUGAGGAUUACGUCAAAUCAUCAUGCCCCUUAUGAUCUGGGUAACUAACGUGAUACAAUGGCUGUGACAAAGAGUAGCUGAAACGCGAGUUUUUAGCCAAUCUCAAAAAAGCAGUCUCAGUUCGGAUUGAAGUCUGUAACUAGACUUCAUGAAGUUCCAGAUCGCUAGUAAUCGCGAAUCAGCAUGUCGCGGUGAAUACGUUCUCGGGGUUUGUACACACCGCCCGUCAAACCACGAAA
This 1270-nucleotide ribosomal RNA is filed under the name Candidatus Phytoplasma trifolii. Its description in RNAcentral is "bacterial SSU rRNA". It matches the Rfam family "Bacterial small subunit ribosomal RNA", at positions 139 to 1409 of the family's 1533-position model. The record is from RNAcentral. Lineage: Bacteria; Bacillati; Mycoplasmatota; Mollicutes; Acholeplasmatales; Acholeplasmataceae.